This 1818-nucleotide ribosomal RNA is filed under the name Triticum aestivum (bread wheat). Its description in RNAcentral is "partial small subunit ribosomal RNA". The record is from RNAcentral. Lineage: Eukaryota; Viridiplantae; Streptophyta; Magnoliopsida; Poales; Poaceae.
AUGGGGCGCCGGUGGGCCCCGGGGAUCUGCGCGGUGGCGCUGCUCUGGCUCGCCGCGGCCGCUGCCGGAGAUCCCGAUCCCGACGAGCUCGAGCGCGCGUUUCCAAUUGUGGAGCCAGAUUAUGGCCACACUAAACUCCGUCUGUCGGAACAAGGUCUUGAGGCCAUCCGGAGGAUCGAAAAUCCUAUCGCUAUUGUUGGUGUCAUUGGUCCAUAUCGAUCUGGAAAGUCUUUUCUCCUGAACCAACUUCUCUCCUUAUCAUGUGAUAAAGGUUUUGGAGUUGGCCAUAUGCGGGAUACUAAAACGAAAGGUAUAUGGAUUUGGGGUAAACCUGUUGAGAUGGAUGUUGAUGGCACCAAAGUAUCUGUCCUUUAUCUUGACACAGAAGGAUUUGAGAGUGUUGGAAAGUCCAAUGUAUACGACGAUAGGAUAUUUGCGUUGGCAACAGUCUUAAGUUCUGUGCUUAUCUAUAACCUUCCUGAGACGGUGCGUGAAGCUGAUAUAUCGAGGCUCUCAUUUGCUGUUGAAAUAGCCGAAGAAUUCUAUGGAAGAGUGAAGGGGGAAGAGAUUGCCUUUGAGCCAGCAAAGCUUCUCUGGCUUAUCCAGAGGGAUUUCCUGCAAGGAAAAUCAGUUCAGCAAAUGGUCAAUGAAGCCCUCCAGCGGGUACCUAAUGAUAAUGGGAACAAAUAUAUUGACGAGGUCAAUCAAAUCAGAGAUUCUUUGGCAAUUAUGGGAAACAACAGCACUGCUUUUAGCUUGCCCCAGCCUCAUCUACAAAGAACAAAGCUAUGCGACAUGGAGGACAAAGAGCUUGAGCCGUUAUACGUUACAAGGCGAGAGCAAUUGAAGCAGGUUGUUGGAUCCAUCAUUAAACCUAAAUUUGUGCAGGGAAAAACUCUCAAUGGAAAGGAAUUUGUGUCCUUUCUGCAGCAGAUACUUGAAGCUUUGAAUAAAGGAGAGAUUCCAUCAACAGGAUCUCUUGUUGAAAUUUUCAACAAGGCUAUUCUUGAACGCUGUCUGAAGGUAUAUAAGGAAAAACUGGAGGGCUUACGUCUACCUGUACCAGUAGAGAAACUGCAGCAAAUUCAUGAGGUGGCGAAUGGCGAAGCCAAAUUGCUGUUUGAUAAACAGCACUUUGGUAAGCAUCAUGCUGUACAGUCAAUCCUCAAGCUUGAAGAUGAGAUUACAAAGGUGUACAAAAACUUCCUUCUAGCUAAUGAGUAUCAAUCGUCCAAGCUUUGCGAAGCACGUUUCUCGGAAUGUGAAGAUCAAAUGGAUCACCUUCAAGUCUUGAAACUUCCUUCCAUGGCAAAGUUCAAUGCAGGUUUUUUUUACUGCAAUCGGACUUUUGUAAUGGAAUGUGUGGGGCCUGCAAAGGAAAGAUAUGAUCAUAGGAUGUCAAAGAUGCUCCUCAAAUCUCGUGCUCUUUUCAUCAAGGAAUACAAUAACAAGCUCUUCAAUUGGUUGGUGACUUUUGCUCUGGUCAUGGUCGUGCUUGGGCGCUUUGUGAUCAAGUUCUUUCUACUUGAAAUUGCUGCAUGGGUAAUGUUUAUCUUCCUGGAGACAUAUACAAGAAUGUUCUGGUCAGCAGAAUCGCUGUACUAUAAUCCAGCUUGGCACAUAAUCGUUUCAUCCUGGGAAACCAUCGUGUACAGUCCACUUCUCGAUCUGGACAGAUGGGCCAUCCCCAUAGCCUUGUUGCUAUUGUUUUGGCUUUUUUACUGGCGUUGCUUUGCUAGAAGGAAACGUGGCAGCCGCUCGGUGCUGCCACUGUACAAGAACUCUCACAAGAACUCCAGUCGCCCUAGAUCAGACUGA